GAUGAACGCUGGCGGCGUGCCUAAUACAUGCAAGUCGAGCGAACAGACGAGGAGCUUGCUCCUCUGACGUUAGCGGCGGACGGGUGAGUAACACGUGGAUAACCUACCUAUAAGACUGGGAUAACUUCGGGAAACCGGAGCUAAUACCGGAUAAUAUAUUGAACCGCAUGGUUCAAUAGUGAAAGACGGUUUUGCUGUCACUUAUAGAUGGAUCCGCGCCGCAUUAGCUAGUUGGUAAGGUAACGGCUUACCAAGGCGACGAUGCGUAGCCGACCUGAGAGGGUGAUCGGCCACACUGGAACUGAGACACGGUCCAGACCCCUACGGGAGGCAGCAGUAGGGAAUCUUCCGCAAUGGGCGAAAGCCUGACAGAGCAACGCCGCGUGAGUGAUGAAGGUCUUCGGAUCGUAAAACUCUGUUAUUAGGGAAGAACAAAUGUGUAAGUAACUAUGCACGUCUUGACGGUACCUAAUCAGAAAGCCACGGCUAACUACGUG
RNAcentral lists this ribosomal RNA (497 nucleotides) under uncultured bacterium. RNAcentral describes it as "partial 16S ribosomal RNA". It matches the Rfam family "Bacterial small subunit ribosomal RNA", at positions 28 to 507 of the family's 1533-position model. The record is from RNAcentral.